UGAAUGUUUCUCUUAAAAAUAAUAAUCAUUCUCUGCUUCUAUUUUUGAUUUGUUUUUCUGUUUUUCAGAACUGAAAACCACAAGGACUAUCCCUUCAAAGCAGAGUACUGAGGCCCUCCUUGGCCGGGACAAAUCGUCGCCGAGGCACAGGCAGCUCUGGUCAGGGAUGCUGGGACGCAGUUGGAUUUGGGGACUCCAGCCAUAUCGUGACUGAUCAGGCUAAGUGACAUGGAAUGAAGCAGGUACGUUCUCAUCCUUGAGAUGUCCUCCAAUCAUCAACCCCAAACCAAGAACUCUGGAGCAACCACAGACACUGCUGUUAAUAUUCAUCAUGAAAUGGAUAAUUUGGAUGAUGAGACAGUCUAAAAGGCAGUAACUCUUCUUGCCCGUUCACGCGAUGCCAGCCCCUGGAUGCCAGAUGCUGUACUGUACUACUGUACUUUUCAAGGUCCUUUUGCCCCCGAGAUUUCUCUGGAUGCUCUACGAUUGGAGGUGGAUGGGGACAACUUGGACAUUAGAAAUUACAGAGAAACUUCAUCACAAAGAAAUUUGCGGCAACAUCUCUGAUAUGUGGUAAUCAAGACAACUAGGUUUCACUGAUUCUAAUCUACUGUGGAAUGGCUACAACUGGACAGCAAAUGAGAAUAAAGGGAAAAGAUGGAC
Molecule: long non-coding RNA, 663 nt
Organism: Eubalaena glacialis (North Atlantic right whale)
Lineage: Eukaryota; Metazoa; Chordata; Mammalia; Artiodactyla; Balaenidae
Exons: 4
Source: RefSeq, a predicted model, not a curated record